UUAUUUAUUUAAACUGUGCGAGACGUUUGGACUGUUUAUUGAUUUACUUUGUAAAACCGUCAUGGGUAGUUACAAAGGAGCUAAAUAAACUGAUCCAAUAGAGAAAUACACAGGUAUGCAGAUACACAGACAGACAGACAGAUCAAUAGGUGUAUAGACAGGCAGACAGGAAUAGAUCAAACAAUAGGUAAGAAAGAGAGACAAAAAUGUAGACAGACAGGUAGAUAGAGAGACAGACAGACAAGAAGAUAGAUCAAUAGGUAGGUAGACAGACAGAUAGAUAGGUAGACAGACAGAUAGGUAGGUAGACAGACAGAUAGGUAGGUAGACAGACAGAUAGGUAGGUAGACAGACAGAUAGGUAGGUAGACAGACAGACGAGUAGAUAGAUCAAUAGGUAGAUAGACAGACAGAUAGGUAGGUAGACAGACAGAUAGGUAGGUAGGUAGACAGACAGAUAGGUAGGUAGACAGACAGAUAG
Long non-coding RNA from Ictalurus punctatus (channel catfish), 480 nucleotides. Lineage: Eukaryota; Metazoa; Chordata; Actinopteri; Siluriformes; Ictaluridae. The record is from Ensembl.